CUCUGAAUGGGAUUAUAAAACGUGUCUGUAUUGCUCAUCCAGGAAGUGUGAAGUUGUAAAAAGCAAGCUAAAUUGCCAUGUUUUAUCUGCUAGUUGCUUCUGCGUUUAUUGUCUUUAUGGACUCAAAGUCCUCCAGGGAGUGUGACAAAUCCUGAUUGCAUUUUCUACUUACAGCUUUUGUUUGUUCAUAAAUGUGGAAAGAAGAAAAACUUAGUCACCGGGGAUUUGUCUAGCUGUGUGUUUGGCUACUUAAUUGCUUCAGCUUUAGUUGUUUUUUACAUUAUUCUAUCUACUUUUGGUCUGAUGCCAUGCACAGCCUACAUCUGUAAAUCUCCAUUUCCUCAUCUGGAAAAUAUAAAUAUUUUAGAGUAGUAUUGAAAGAAUUAACGUUUACAUUUUGUGUAUAUGGGUAUAAACACUCCAGUGUUUAUGAAUUUUGCUGAAGCAUGUGCAUUUAGACUUCCAAAUUAGAAAAAAA
RNAcentral lists this long non-coding RNA (478 nucleotides) under Gallus gallus (chicken). Lineage: Eukaryota; Metazoa; Chordata; Aves; Galliformes; Phasianidae. The record is from RNAcentral.